RNAcentral lists this transfer RNA (56 nucleotides) under Cricetulus griseus (Chinese hamster). Lineage: Eukaryota; Metazoa; Chordata; Mammalia; Rodentia; Cricetidae. The record is from Rfam by way of RNAcentral.
GCUCAGUGGUUAAGAGCACUGACUGCUCUUUCAGAGGGCCUGGGUUCAAUUCCCAG